This 77-nucleotide transfer RNA is filed under the name Alphaproteobacteria bacterium. Its description in RNAcentral is "tRNA-Arg". It matches the Rfam family "tRNA". From Rfam's summary of the family: Transfer RNA (tRNA) molecules are approximately 80 nucleotides in length. Their secondary structure includes four short double-helical elements and three loops (D, anti-codon, and T loops). RNAcentral also lists the same sequence under 2 other names. Lineage: Bacteria; Pseudomonadati; Pseudomonadota; Alphaproteobacteria. The record is from RNAcentral.
GCACCCGUAGCUCAGCUGGAUAGAGCGCUGCCCUCCGAAGGCAGAGGUCACAGGUUCAAAUCCUGUCGGGUGCACCA